GCAGGGCGCAGCUACACAUGCAGUCGGACGGUAGCACAGAGGAGCUUGCUCCUCGGGUGACGAGUGGCGGACGGGUGAGUAAUGUCUGGGAAACUGCCCGAUGGAGGGGGAUAACUACUGGAAACGGUAGCUAAUACCGCAUAACGUCGCAAGACCAAAGUGGGGGACCUUCGGGCCUCACACCAUCGGAUGUGCCCAGAUGGGAUUAGCUUGUAGGCGGGGUAACGGCCCACCUAGGCGACGAUCCCUAGCUGGUCUGAGAGGAUGACCAGCCACACGCAACUGAGACACGGCCAGAACCACGGCAGGCAACAGUCGAGAAAGCACAAUGAACGCAACCCCACGAACACAUGCAGCGCAUAGCAACAAGACCAUCCGGUUAGAAAGCACAGUCAGCACGCAGGAAGGUGUUGAGGUGAAAAACUCAGCAAUUGACGUUACCCACAGAAGAAGCACCCGCUAACUCCGUGCCAGCAGCAGCGCGAAUACCGAGAGUGCAAGCGUUAAUCGAAACUACUGGGCGUAAAGCGCACGCAGGCCGUCUGUUAAGUCAGAUGUGAAAUCCCCGGCCUUAAACCGGGAACUGCAUUUGAAAACGGCAGGCUUGAGUCUCGUAGAGGGGGGAAAAAUUCCAAGUGUAGCGGUGAAAUGCGUAGAGAUCUGGAGGAAUACCGGUGGCGAAGGCGGCCCCCUGGACGAAGACUGACGCUCAGGUGCGAAAGCGUGGGGAGCAAACAGGAUUAGAUACCCUGGUAGUCCACGCCGUAAACGAUGUCGACUUGGAGGUUGUUCCCUUGAGGAGUGGCUUCCGGAGCUAACGCGUUAAGUCGACCGCCUGGGGAGUACGGCCGCAAGGUUAAAACUCAAAUGAAUUGACGGGGGCCCGCACAAGCGGUGGAGCAUGUGGUUUAAUUCGAUGCAACGCGAAGAACCUUACCUACUCUUGACAUCCAGCGAACUUGGCAGAGAUGCCUUGGUGCCUUCGGGAACGCUGAGACAGGUGCUGCAUGGCUGUCGUCAGCUCGUGUUGUGAAAUGUUGAGUUAAGUCCCGCAACGAGCGCAACCCUUAUCCUUUGUUGCCAGCGAUUCGGUCGGGAACUCAAAGGAGACUGCCGGUGAUAAACCGGAGAAAGGUGGGGAUGACGUCAAGUCAUCAUCACCCUACGAGUAGGGCUAAACAACUGCUACAAGCGCACAUACAAAGAGAAGCCAAACCGCGAGAGCAAGCGAACCCAUAAAGCGCGCGUAGCCGGAUCGGAGCCUGCAACUCGAACCCCUCAAGGCAAAAUCGCUAGUAAUCGUGGAUCAGAAUGCCACGGUGAAUACGUUCCCGGGCCUUGUACACACCGCCCGUCACACCAUGGGAGUGGGUUGCAAAAGAAGUAGGUAGCUUAACCUCCGGGAGGGCGCUACCACUUGAUCGUUGC
RNAcentral lists this ribosomal RNA (1428 nucleotides) under Pantoea sp. RNAcentral describes it as "bacterial SSU rRNA". It matches the Rfam family "Bacterial small subunit ribosomal RNA". The record is from RNAcentral. Lineage: Bacteria; Pseudomonadati; Pseudomonadota; Gammaproteobacteria; Enterobacterales; Erwiniaceae.